Molecule: ribosomal RNA, 542 nt
Filed under: uncultured Candidatus Poseidoniales archaeon
Lineage: Archaea; Methanobacteriati; Thermoplasmatota; Candidatus Poseidoniia; Candidatus Poseidoniales
Description: bacterial SSU rRNA
Rfam family: Archaeal small subunit ribosomal RNA
Source: RNAcentral
ACCUGGUUGAUCCUGCCAGAGGCGACCGCUUUUGGAGUUCGAUUAAGCCAUGCGAGUAGAAUGAAUUAGAUCAUUGCGAACUGCUCAGUAACACGUGGAUAACCUGCCCUAUGCUCUGGGAUAACCUUGGGAAACUGAGAAUAAUACCGGAUAGAUCACAACGCCUGGAACGGUGUGUGGUUGAAAGGUCACGGCAUAGGAUGGGUCUGCGGCGUAUCAGGUCGUAGGGGGUGUAAUGGACCUCCUAGCCAUCGACGCGUACGGGUUGUGGGAGCAAUAGCCCGGAGAUGGAUUCUGAGACACGAAUCCAGACCCUACGGGGUGCAGCAGGCGCGAAAACUUCACACUGCAGGAAACUGUGAUGAGGGAACUCCAAGUGACUACACAUUUGUGUAGCUCUUUUCUUAACUAUUAAUCGGUUUUGGAAUAAGGGCUGGGAAAGACCGGUGCCAGCCGCCGCGGUAAUACCGGCAGCUCAAGUGGUCGUCGCUUUUAUUGGGCCUAAAACGUCCGUAGCCUGUUUGGUAAAUCUGUGGGUAAAU